Molecule: ribosomal RNA, 781 nt
Filed under: uncultured bacterium
Lineage: Bacteria
Description: bacterial SSU rRNA
Rfam family: Bacterial small subunit ribosomal RNA
Source: RNAcentral
UNCCAUGUGUAGCGGUGAAAUGCGUAGAUAUAUGGAGGAACNCCGGUGGCGAAAGCGGCUCUCUGGUCUNUCACUGACGCUGAGGCUCGAAAGCGUGGGUAGCGAACAGGAUUAGAUACCCUGGUAGUCCACGCCGUAAACGCUGAGUGCUAGGUGUUAGGUCCUUUCCGGGACUUAGUGCCGACGCUAACGCAUUAAGCACUCCGCCUGGGGAGUACGACCGCAAGGUUGAAACUCAAAGGAAUUGACGGGGGCCCGCACAAGCGGUGCAGCAUGUGGUUUAAUUCGAAGCAACGCGAAGAACCAUACCAGGUCUUGACAUCCCGAUGCCCGCUCUAGAGAUAGAGUUUUACUUUUUGUACAUCGGAGACAGGUGGUGCAUGGUUGUCGUCAGCUCGUGUCGUGAGAUGUUGGGCUAAGUCCCGCAACGAGCGCAACCCUUAUUGUUAGUUGCCAUCAUUAAGUUGGGCACUCUAGCGAGACUGCCGGUAAUAAACCGAAGGAAGGUGGGGAUGACGUCAAAUCAUCAUGCCCCUUAUGACCUGGGCUACACACGUGCUACAAUGGUUGGUACAACGAGUCGCAAGCCGGUGACGGCAAGCUAAUCUCUGAAAGCCAAUCUCAGUUCGGAUUGUAGGCUGCAACUCGCCUACAUGAAGUCGGAAUCGCUAGUAAUCGCGGAUCAGCACGCCGCGGUGAAUACGUUCCCGGGCCUUGUACACACCGCCCGUCACACCACGAGAGUUUGUAACACCCAAAGUCGGUGAGGUAACCAUUUAUG